GAAGCUCCAAGAGGUUGUUUCUGACAGCUUGACCACCUCUCACUCUCACAAGUUGGCUGCCUUGUCAUUGGCAGAGUCCUCAAGCAGAUCCAGCUGCCCAGACAGAGCUGGCUCGUGCUUGGAAACGUGGCAGGCAGCCAGAGCAGCAGAGAGACCUGCUGGCUUUUCCCUACACAAUCCCUUAACAAGGAAUCCUGAUGUUCCUGGGCACAGUUUUCUUUCCCUGGGUACCUCACACCUUCGGGCAGCUGCUUUGAUACCUCUGAGACUCCCCUCAGCACAGAAACAAACAAGUUUUUUUGUUUCUUUCUCUGUAAGGAUGAGCAUGCAAGAAAACCCCUUGUUAAACAGGAAUUUCUUUGCACCAGAGAGGCAACUCCAGCCCACUCUAACCAGGCAGAGAGGAUCCUUGUUGGGAGAUCAGUUUGCUCCUCCAGGAGCAUCAUGUUCCCCUUGGCCAGCUAAAUCUUCCCUCUACAAGGCCUGAAGAGUCCAAGCAGGUGACCAGAGAGUGAGCCAGGCCAAAUGUCGCUGGGUGCCAAACUUGGCAUCAGCAUUAUUGGUCUGUUAUCAACAGCAGAGGUUCACUGGGUUAUGCAGAUGCCUCCAAAUCUGUGAUUUUAAAUUUCUGGAGCAAGUCAAUCAAUAAAGUUCACUUGAGGAUCAAGGUC
RNAcentral lists this long non-coding RNA (671 nucleotides) under Corvus moneduloides (New Caledonian crow). RNAcentral describes it as "lncRNA (ENSCMUG00000010345.2)". Lineage: Eukaryota; Metazoa; Chordata; Aves; Passeriformes; Corvidae. The record is from RNAcentral.